RNAcentral lists this ribosomal RNA (900 nucleotides) under Oceanobacillus sp. JSM 102011. RNAcentral's name for it is "bacterial SSU rRNA". It matches the Rfam family "Bacterial small subunit ribosomal RNA", at positions 38 to 907 of the family's 1533-position model. The record is from RNAcentral. Lineage: Bacteria; Bacillati; Bacillota; Bacilli; Caryophanales; Bacillaceae.
GGCGGGGGCCUAUAAUGCAAGUCGAGCGCAUGAAAUUAUUUGAUUCUCUUCGGAGUUGACGAUAAUGGAAUGAGCGGCGGACGGGUGAGUAACACGUAGGCAACCUGCCUGUAAGACUGGGAUAACUCGUGGAAACGCGAGCUAAUACCGGAUAACACUUUUCAUCUCCUGAUGAGAAGUUGAAAGGCGGCUUUUGCUGUCACUUACAGAUGGGCCUGCGGCGCAUUAGCUAGUUGGUAAGGUAACGGCUUACCAAGGCGACGAUGCGUAGCCGACCUGAGAGGGUGAUCGGCCACACUGGGACUGAGACACGGCCCAGACUCCUACGGGAGGCAGCAGUAGGGAAUCUUCCGCAAUGGACGAAAGUCUGACGGAGCAACGCCGCGUGAGUGAUGAAGGUUUUCGGAUCGUAAAACUCUGUUGUUAGGGAAGAACAAGUACUAUAGUAACUGAUAGUACCUUGACGGUACCUAACCAGAAAGCCACGGCUAACUACGUGCCAGCAGCCGCGGUAAUACGUAGGUGGCAAGCGUUGUCCGGAAUUAUUGGGCGUAAAGCGCUCGCAGGCGGUUCUUUAAGUCUGAUGUGAAAUCUUACGGCUCAACCGUAAACGUGCAUUGGAAACUGGGGAACUUGAGUGCAGAAGAGGAGAGUGGAAUUCCACGUGUAGCGGUGAAAUGCGUAGAGAUGUGGAGGAACACCAGUGGCGAAGGCGACUCUCUGGUCUGUAACUGACGCUGAGGAGCGAAAGCGUGGGGAGCGAACAGGAUUAGAUACCCUGGUAGUCCACGCCGUAAACGAUGAGUGCUAGGUGUUAGGGGGUUUCCGCCCCUUAGUGCUGAAGUUAACGCAUUAAGCACUCCGCCUGGGGAGUACGGCCGCAAGGCUGAAACUCAAAAG